RNAcentral lists this ribosomal RNA (499 nucleotides) under uncultured bacterium. RNAcentral's name for it is "partial 16S ribosomal RNA". It matches the Rfam family "Bacterial small subunit ribosomal RNA", at positions 899 to 1397 of the family's 1533-position model. The record is from RNAcentral.
ACUCAAAUGAAUAGACGGGGGCCCGCACAAGCGGUGGAUCAUGUGGUUUAAUUCGAAGCAACGCGAAGAACCUUACCUGGAUUUGACAUCCUCUGACAACUGUAGAGAUACAGCUUUCGUAGCAAUACGACAGAGUGACAGGUGCUGCAUGGCUGUCGUCAGCUCGUGUGGUGACAUGUUGGGUUAAGUCCCGCAACGAGCGCAACCCUUGUCUUUAGUUGCCAGCAUUAAGUUGGGCUCUCUAAAGAGACUGCCGUGGUGAACACGGAGGAAGGUGGGGAUGACGUCAAGUCCUCAUGGCCUUUAUAUCCAGGGCGACACACGUGAUACAAUGGUAGGUACAGAGGGAAGCCAACCCGCAAGGGGGAGCCAAUCUCAAAAAGCCUAUCUCAGUUCGGAUUGGAGUCUGCAACUCGACUCCAUGAAGUUGGAAUCGCUAGUAAUCGCGGAUCAGCACGCCGCGGUGAAUACGUUCCCGGGCCUUGCACACACCGCCCGU